This 253-nucleotide ribosomal RNA is filed under the name uncultured bacterium. RNAcentral's name for it is "partial 16S ribosomal RNA". It matches the Rfam family "Bacterial small subunit ribosomal RNA", at positions 524 to 776 of the family's 1533-position model. The record is from RNAcentral.
UACGUAGGUGGCAAGCGUUAUCCGGAAUUAUUGGGCGUAAAGCGCGCGCAGGUGGUUUCUUAAGUCUGAUGUGAAAGCCCACGGCUCAACCGUGGAGGGUCAUUGGAAACUGGGGAACUUGAGUGCAGAAGAGAAGAGCGGAAUUCCACGUGUAGCGGUGAAAUGCGUAGAGAUGUGGAGGAACACCAGUGGCGAAGGCGGCUCUUUGGUCUGUAACUGACGCUGAGGCGCGAAAGCGUGGGGAGCAAACAGG